AAGUCCUUAGCAAAACGCACCGGAUUCGCGCCCUCCCCGGAGUUCUGGCCAGGAGGCUCUGGCUGGAUUCCAGUUGUUACAGAGCUCGCUGGAGACUUCCUUCUCCCUGUGGCAUUUUCCCCGCUCCUCUGGCCGCCGAAGGAGUCCUGUGGUGCCGGGCAGGAAUGGGCUGCUUGGGGACCCAACGAGCUCCCAGAGCCUUUCCUGCUGCUUCCUCUACCCCUGUGUUUCGCUAGGCUCUCGAGAUGGACUCAGUUCCAGAUUGCCCAGCCUCACAUAUUCCUUCAUAGCAACACAAAGGGACUGAGACAAUAUAUAAGUUAACAUCUGCCAUGUAGUGGAGGUUCCAGAGAAAAAGUGAGAGAAGCUGAGUCUGCACCCUCAACAUGGAGGAAAUAAGCUCUCUUAGGACCAAGAACAGAGGACAGAGGAAGGACUCCAGCAUGAUGGGCACCAAGGGAUUUUGGUCCUUCUGAGAAAGAGGAGAGACAGGGUCUUCCUCUUUGCCUAAGCUGGAGCGCAUUGGUGUGAUCAUCGCUCACUGCUGCCUCAAACUCCUGGGCUCAUGCGACCCUCCCACCUCAGCCUCCUGACUAGUUGGGACUACAGAAUUGGUUCCUUCCAGUGAGUUCUUGGUCUCGCUGACUUCAAGAAUGAAGCCACAGACCUGUGCGAUGAGUGUUACAGCUCUUAAAGAUGGUGUGUCCAGAGUUUGUUCCUUCAGAUGUUCAGAUGUGUCCGGAGUUUCUUCCUUCUGGUGGGUUUGUCCUCUCGCUAACUUCCAAGAAUGAAGCCGUGGACGUUCACAGUGAGUAUUAGACCUCCUCAGGUUAGUGUGGACCCAAAGAGUGAGCGGCAGCAAGAUUUAUUAAGAGCAAAAGAACAAAGCUUCCACAACACGGAAAGGGACCCAAGCUGGUUGCCUCUGCUGGCUCGGGUGGCCAGGUUUUAUUCCCUUAUUUGGCCCCGCCCACAUUCCGCUGACUGGUCCAUUUUACACAGUGCUGAUUGGUCCAUUUUACAGAGUGCUGAUUGGUGCAUUUUUACAGAGUGCUGAUUGGUGUGUUUACAGUCCUUUGGCUAGACACAGAGUGCUGAUUGGUGUGUUUUUACAGAGUGCUGAUUGGUGCAUUUACAAUCCUUUAGCUAGACUCAGAGUGCUGAUUGGUGCGUUUUUACAGAGUGCUGAUUGGUGCGUUUACAAUCCUUUAGUUAGAUGCAGAGUGCUGAUUGGUGCGUUUACAAUCCUUUAGCUAGACACAGAGCACUGAUUGGUGCGUUUACAGUCCUUUAGCCAGACAGAAAAGUUCUCUAAGUCCCCACUCUACCCAGGAAGUCCAGCUGGCUUCACUUCUCAAUAUACGCAUUCCCUAUUUAAUUUUCCCAUUUUCUUGCGAUGCUUCUGUGUUUUGGCUUUGUGGAAAUCCAUUCUGCAUGCAAUACAGAACACAAAUUUGGCAAAAACAGUACUGGUGAUCAAAAAGCAGCACUGUUGCAUAAGUGUCUUCUUAUCCUACUAUGCACAUAAUUAUUUUCAAACUAGUCAGUAACUUAGCUGGCUUCCUCAGGCAAAUGCAGCUUUAAUUUAUUAAAAGCCCUGGAAUAUCAUCAGCUGGAAGGAAUGCCAACACAGGUAAAUGAGGCAUUUUUAAACUGACGUUUUCAUUCUUGCCGUGUUGUGCAGGCAAUCUACUCAUUUGAAUUUUUCUCCAAAUGCAUUGAGCUGAAUGGAAAAAAACAAACUUUAUUGGUAACACCCUGAAAUCCACUCUUGGAAAUCUUGAUUGCACCUAAUUCCAAAUCUGUCACUAUAGUUGGGGAUUCAACUGAAAUCCAUUUUCUUCUUUAUAAAGACAAUAACAAGGUAAUAGUUCUGCCUAACAUGAUGUGACUUUCCUGCGAUGGUGAUUUUCCAAAUUUUAAAUGUUUAGAAUUUUAGAUGAUAGGGAUUUAGAUUUUAGAGAUUUUGAUCUUUUAGGAUUUCAACAUUCAGGAUUAUGGCACUCAGUAUUGCGUCCUUUGAUAUUAUGAUCCAAACCCUUUCGCUUCAUAAAAAACUGUGAAACAGCUUUUUCUGUGCAUUAAAAAAAAGUUUCAAGGUGGAGUUUCUUACAUUAAGAGAAUCUUUUUAAAGAAAAUGUGUGGUGGAGAAAUUUUCGAGGAGGACAUCUUUAUCUAAUCAUUUCUAGUAAGCAAACUUUCUCUACUAGGUCAAGAUCUAAGCAAACACACAAAUGUGAACAACAGGGAAAGAACCCAUUGACCUACCAAGACAGGCUGCCAACAGAAUUUUGAAGGCUUGCCAAGAUGCUUUUAUGGAGGUAGAGUGAAUGAGAUUCCGUAAGUGCAAAAUAAUCCUUUUAAGACUACCCAGAAAGUAAUAUAAGUGAACUAGUUAUAUAAGAUUCAGUGAGGACUACCAAAACAUUGGGAAGAAAUGUGGAUUUUAUCAUUCAAGGAAAUAUAAUUUUAUUGUAAGAUAUAAUCUUUGUUUUUGUAGUCAAAUAGAAACAUUCAUGCCUUAAUACAACGUUUGGUAAAAAGAACUGAAGAAGACACCAUAGAAGAUUUUAACAAACAAUGAACUCAUUAGCUAAAAGAUUUGUCAUGAAAUAAUGAUUGAUUUAGUUGUUUUCUAAAAUAUUUCUAGUGCCUAUUAGAUGUUGAAGGAGACUUUGAUCAUGAAGUGUGUUCUCUGAGGAGCUGCUAUUUUUAUUUUUAUAUUUGUUUGAAGUGAAUUGUCCUGCUAAUUCUUUAACAUAAAAUAUCUUCAAUUACAUGAUUCAACAUUUUAAAAAGUGAUUAAGACAGAAGAAUAUGUGCUGGGAUUUAUUUUUGGAUCUUUGAAGUAGCAAAGAGUAGCAGAACUCCUUAAUCCAUAGAGUGGUUAUUUUGCUGUAUGAUGACUCUUGUAUUUACUCCCUGAAUUACCCUUUCCACUAAAAAGUAUUAAUGAGACAUUAGUAGGCUAUAGAAAAAAAUACUUCUGAUCUACUUAGAAAUAUUCAUGAGGUUUUCUCCUGGUGGAUUCACAUCAAAUUUUAUUUUUUAAAACCCCAAGUAUUUUUAUUUGAUGAUUAAUAAGUAAGAUGGAGGCUGGUAGGUGGAAAUCGCCAGCAGGAAAAUAAAAUGCUUUGGCUAAGCCGACAACUGCUACUGUCCUCCUCUGUACAGACUCUCCUGCUGAAGACUCACGGAGGCUUAUUUCAAGUCUUCUUUAGUUCAUUACCUGCAUGUUCAAAUGGAGCUGGUACUGUGACUCACAGCUUUCUGUCCAAGAAUGCGAUUUGUACCUCUACAAAUCUUCUACACCUUCUUCAUCUAGUAAACACUUACUCUACAGGUCUCAUCUCAAAUCUAUUACUAUAUGCAACUAUAGUACAUAAGCAAGCCAUUUAAAAAUGUUAAAGGAAGAUAUGCAUUGAUAUGGGUUGGCUGUUUUCCCACCCAAAUCUCAUCUUGAAUCGUAGCUCCCAUAAUCCACACGUGUCAUGGGAGGGACCCAAUGGAAGGUAAUUAAAUAAUCGGGGUGGGUUUUUCCCAUGCUGCUCUCAUGAUAGUAAAUAAGUCUCAUGAAAUCUGAUGGUUUCAUAAUAUAAAGGGCAGUUCCCCUGCACAUGCUCUCUUGCCUGCCACCAUGUAAGAUGGGCCUUUGCUCCUCCUUUGCCUUCUGCCAUGAUUGUGAGGCCUCUCCAGCCAUGUGGAACUGUAAGUCCAUUAAAUCUCUUUUUCUUUAUAAAUUACCCAGUCUUGGAUAUCUCUUCAUAGGAGUGUGAAAAUGGACUAAUAGAUACAUAUAGGUACACAUACAUGUAUACAUAAAGCCAUUCCAAAAGACUUUGCUUCCUGAAGUUUGUAAAUGUAAACAAAUUUAUUGUACCAUCAUUUAGGUUACUACGUUGCUCACUAACAUAGAAACAAUAUCUAAAAUGGGUACUUAUAGGGUUAUUAAAAUAUAGUAUGAAUAUGGCUACUGGAAAAAAGUCAAAGAUAUAUUUUGAGGCCACUACUCUACGUCUCUUGAUGUUCUCUUGUACACAUUUGAUAUUGCACAAAAGCCAAAAGUUUGGACUCCUUUGAUUAAAGGCAAGGUCAAGUAAUCCUGCUGGUUCUACCUCUCCUCCCAUUUCUUAAAUGAAAGGAUGUAGUCAUAUAAGGUGCUGUUUAGUAAAAUGGUGCCGUGAAUUCAGCAUGAAAUGUCUGGGCAAGUGUUUUUCAAGUUGUCACAUAUAUACUAUAUUUAUCUUCCUCCUUUUCCCUCCUCAACCUCAGUCCCCAUCACCCAGUGUUUCAUAAGGUUUUACUUUCUGUAGCUUAUACUGUAAAACCAGGAGUUCCCUUCCUCCUCUCCCAAAUAUAACCUUUUCUAAUAAUAUUAAUUGCACUUUCCCUAACUAUACAUACCUCCCUGGAGAUUUUGAACUGUAAUUCUUUCUCUCCUCCAUUUUCCUUGAGCAUUUUUCAUCUAGUGGAAUAUUCGGUGGCAAAGCUCUCAUUCUGGAAGAAGUUUAGCCAUGUAAGCAUAGAAGAAAUAAGCCAACAAUGGUAAACAUAGUUAAUGCAUGUAGUUAAGUCUUCUAAACAUGUCACUUGAAUGAUGUCACAUUUUGCUUUUUCAAACUAGGAAUCAACAAAAUGGAGGAACAUUUGAGGUUUGUUAAGAAAUUUCCCUUCUUAGCCAUAGAACUAAGAUAUUUUUAAAUAAAGAAGAUCAUAGUGGGCCAUAAAUGAUGUGCCUUUCUAGGAUCCCAAAAUGUUUUAUUGAUUGAAUUAUAUAGAGAGAUUUAAUGGAACCGUGGUUGAAAAAUGCUUUUAAAGUCUUUGAUCACUGGGAUAUCAAUGGAACAAAUGGGUUAAAACAUUUUCAGAAUUUAAUCAUUUAUCUAGGUAACAGGGUUGGGGGUAAAUGGCGGGAGAGAAGGGGAGGGCCGGGGCAUUAAUGAAUAGUACUCCAUGUAAAAAGAAGAAUUGACUAGUAACAUCUGUACUAUUUAAAUUAACAGGCUGGCAUAUAUUGUUGUGCAGGUUUUGCAUUGCCCAAUUCUUGGGGGGGGCGGCAUUCACAUUUGUAGUCAUUAUGGGUUCCUCUAUUUAUAAUGCCAAUUUUCUAGCAGAUGUUGGUUUAUUGCCUUGAGAAACUGUUAGAUUCCUCUAAUUUUUGCAAAGAUGGCUUUGGGAAGUUGAAAGAUUACCUGAUUACUAUUAGAGAAUCCUGCUACCAAUACAUACUUGUCUUGUAUAAUUUGGGCAAAAUAUAAUAUUCCUGAAUCUUAGAUUCCUUGUUUGUAAAAUGUUUAAAAUAUAUCUAAAUGUAAGAAUUGUUGUAGCAUAUAUAUGUGAGUACAUGAAUGUGGCCGUCACAGCAGCUGUAAGUGGAAGAUAUUAUAAAUAUUGUUAAAACCUUCUGAUGUUUUAUUUUAAGCUGAUAGUUUUUCUUUAUGCUGACUUUACAGUGAGUUUUAAACAUACACUUGAGUUUAUCAUUUGUAUAUAACUACUGAUAGAAAUCUGAUGAAAAACACUAAUAGUAGUUUAUAAAAGAUUUUUUUCAAUAUGAACUUUUUGUUUCCAUUGUGAGAAAUUAAAUUUCAAAAUGUAAUUAUUAAAUGUAUGCCUGACUUUCAAAUGUUUUUCUAUAUCCAGCUAAUUAAAAAUAUUUAUAACGUAGUAGUAGUUAAAUGUCAUGUUCGCCUUAUUAGAAAGAAUGCCUUCAAAUCAGUAUUAUCAUGAUUACCAUUUAUUUAACAUCUUCAGUAUGCAGGGCAUUUAUAAAAUCUGUAGAAAUUAAUUUUCUCUAAAUGCAACAAGCUUUAUGACCAGCACUCACUGUCUAUAAAAGAUGACUUGCUUGGCAGAAGAGGAAACAGUUUCUUCAGACCUUCCAGCCACAGUCAGCCCUGGUGACAUUGCAUAUCAGGUAAACCCCCAAUCCCUGGCCACAUUUGAUUGGUCCAAGAUGGAAUGUGACCCAGGCUGAGACAAUCAGACUCAGUCUCUUGAUAAUUUAAAUUCAGAGCCCCAGUGACUGAAUUAGACAAUAAUGGAUAUUCUACCUAUAAGUUAGAGAGAGUUGGAGACAGGAAACUCAACUCACUUGAAAGCUGCUAUUAUGGAGAAACGAAAAAAACUGCUUUGUAGAAGAUAGCCUGGAAAAGUAGAGAAGUUGUCUGAGAGAGGGACAAAUCAGCUUUAAAAGUGUUUCAUUUUUUUUGUUAGGGCCUAAAUAUACUUUCUGUAUUUGAUAACUCUAAGAUAACCUUGUAUUCUCUUCUCAAUUCCCCCUUCCACUUGAACUUGAAUGGUGGAUUUCUAUUACUUUCAAAUGAAAAAUACUUAAGAUAUUUGUCUUGUUUCAAGGAAGAUUUAAUACAGUUAUUUCCCGAACAACAACAACAAAAGCCUUUUGUUGAGCCACUGUCCUUCCAGUGAGACACACACACACACACACACACACACACACACACACACACACACACACACACACACAGUCUUUACAGAUCUGUUGAAGAGGAUCAUGGAGGCAGGUACCGCUUUCUUUUCCUUUAUUUUUUUUUUUUAUUUUUUUAUUUUUUGAGACGGAGUCUCGCUUUCUCGCCCAGGCUGGAGUGCAGUGGCACAAUCUCGGCUCACUGCAAGCUCCAUCUCCCAUCUUCACACCAUUCUCUCUGCCUCAGCCUCCUGAGUAGCGGGGACUACAGGCGCCCGCCACCAUGCCUGGCUAAUUUUUUGUAUUUUUAGUAGAGACGGGGUGUGUUAUUCAGGAUGGUCUCGAUUUCCUGACCUCGUGAUCCGCCCGCCUCGACCUCCCAAAGUGCUGGGAUUUAGAGGCCUGAGCCACCGCUCCCGGCCCUGGCAGCUUCUAAAGGGCCUCGCACAUUCCUUGGCUUGUGAUGUCCCUUCCCCAUCAUCAAAGACAGCAACGUUGAGUUCCUGAUAUCAUACUGGCUUUUUUUGGGAAACUUCAGGCUACCAUACCUGCUUCAACUGUAGGAGAAUCUUAGUUCUGGAGAGUUGACCCUCCAGGCGAAGCAUUAGGCUUUGAUACAAUUUGUCUGGUACCGGCUGUAGAUCUGGUUUGGGCCCCAGACUAUCUUCCCUGUCCUCAAGAAUCAAAACCAACUUGGAAUGACUCCUGGCCCACUCAGCACCUUUCCGGAAGCCAGAAGAAUGAAGUGCCACACAUAUCAUCAGAGAGAAUUCCAAGGAAGAGGGAAUGGUCUAUAGUGUCUCAAGCCACAUUAAUCCUUCAAGAACAGUGUUAACUUUCUCAGGCUACUGGAACUCCACUUUUUGGAACUGUUAUAUUUACUGUUGGGGAGUGACUUUGGCACCAAGGAGAACUUGGCUCAAAUGAAUGGUUUUGGAUCACACAUCUUCAUGAUUUGGGAAUGAUAUGUGUGUUUAUUUUAUGAAAAAUGUUAGUAAUGAAGCAUUUAAAAUAUAUCAAAAGGAAAAUCUCCAAGAGUUGGUGAAUCAUGCUGUUGCCAAUAAUAGGCAUGUGACAUAACUGAACAUUUCAUCAUCUUCAGUAAAUAAUCAAGAUGAGAUGACAUGCUGGGUCUGUGAUCACCAGGGAUCCAAAUGCCUUCGAUCUUGGUG
This 7599-nucleotide long non-coding RNA is filed under the name Homo sapiens (human). RNAcentral describes it as "HSALNT0367041". The record is from RNAcentral. Lineage: Eukaryota; Metazoa; Chordata; Mammalia; Primates; Hominidae.